This 253-nucleotide ribosomal RNA is filed under the name uncultured Sutterella sp. Its description in RNAcentral is "partial 16S ribosomal RNA". It matches the Rfam family "Bacterial small subunit ribosomal RNA", at positions 524 to 776 of the family's 1533-position model. The record is from RNAcentral. Lineage: Bacteria; Pseudomonadati; Pseudomonadota; Betaproteobacteria; Burkholderiales; Sutterellaceae.
UACGUAGGGUGCGAGCGUUAAUCGGAAUUACUGGGCGUAAAGGGUGUGCAGGCGGCUGAGUAAGACAGAUGUGAAAUCCCCGGGCUUAACCUGGGAACCGCAUAUGUGACUGCUUGGCUAGAGUGCGUCAGAGGGAGGUGGAAUUCCACGUGUAGCAGUGAAAUGCGUAGAUAUGUGGAAGAACACCGAUGGCGAAGGCAGCCUCCUGGGACGCAACUGACGCUGAGGCUCGAAAGCAUGGGUAGCGAACAGG